GGAUGUGAGGGCCAUCUGGCUGUGACAUCUGUCACCACACUGACCGCCAAGGCUGAUUCACUCGGCUGAUCUGGCUGGCUAGGCCGGUGUCCCCUGCCUCCCUCACCGCUCCACAGGCGUCCCUCCCGAAGCUGUGCGCUCGCUCAAAGAGGACGGCCUUCCCCCGAAUAGAGACAGACCCGUCUUGGGUCCAC
Molecule: small nuclear RNA, 194 nt
Filed under: Erinaceus europaeus (western European hedgehog)
Lineage: Eukaryota; Metazoa; Chordata; Mammalia; Eulipotyphla; Erinaceidae
Description: 7SK RNA
Rfam family: 7SK RNA
About the family: 7SK was discovered as an abundant small nuclear RNA in the mid-70s but a possible function has only recently been suggested. Two independent studies have found that 7SK RNA binds the CDK9/cyclin T complex (known as elongation factor P-TEFb).
Source: Rfam by way of RNAcentral